This is a long non-coding RNA of Salvelinus fontinalis (brook trout), 607 nucleotides long. RefSeq lists it as uncharacterized. Lineage: Eukaryota; Metazoa; Chordata; Actinopteri; Salmoniformes; Salmonidae. The transcript is spliced from 2 exons. The record is from RefSeq and is a predicted model, not a curated record.
AGAAACUAGUCAUCGGAUCUAACGGUCAUCUCGCGCCGAACUGCGCAUGUGCAGGCCGUUUAUUCAAAGGCACUUCACUGUCAGUUUGUCACUUUCACGGGAUUGGAGUAAUAACAUGUUCAACUACUUGAGACAUUGUCUCGAAUCUAGGUUAUGCCUUUAGAUUUCGCGAAAAUUAACAACUAAGGAAGUAUUUUUCACUUUUCACAAUGACUUCUCAAACGCCGACCUUGUCUGUUUCGCAAGCGUUCCCGGAAGUCUCGUGAUGUUGCGCCUCUGAAUUUAGAAACUCUGCGGUGCACGCUGCGAAACCAACAGGAAGUAGAACGUUGCAUUCUGGCGUCAAAGUUGAAAGUUGACGCAAAGGCACUCAAACGUGUAGCAAUCUGAUUUUUGUUUUAGCUUUUACAUAACACAUUUUUUUAUGAUCAAAUAGUCCAGAUUUGUUGAAAAGCCUUCAUAGACAAUCGAACUGAAUCUCAUGGUGUUCUGAAAGUAAUCUGAACGUUAUGUCAGCUCUCCACAAGGACAGGUUGCAGCUAUUGUUCACCCUUUUUUAUAUAUUUUUUAUACAUUUUGCCGUUUGAAUAAAUAACAUUAUAACCUU